GAAAUGCGAUAAGUAAUGUGAAUUGCAGAAUUCAGUGAAUCAUCGAAUCUUUGAACGCACCUUGCGCUCCUUGGUAUUCCUUGGAGCAUGCCUGUUUGAGUAUCAUGAAAUCUUCAAAGUAAAUCUUUUGUUAACUCAAUUGGUUUCUACUUUGGUAUUGGAGGUCUUUGCAGCUUCACACCUGCUCCUCUUUGUUCAUUAGCUGGAUCUCAGUGUUAUGCUUGGUUCCACUCGGCGUGAUAAGUUAUCUAUCGCUGAGGACACUGUAAAAGGUGGCCAAGGUAAAUGCAGAUGAACCGCUUCUAAUAGUCCAUUGACUUGGACAAUACUUUUAUGAUCUGAUCUCAAAUCAGGUCGGACUACCCGCUGAACCUACGA
This 378-nucleotide unclassified non-coding RNA is filed under the name plant metagenome. RNAcentral describes it as "partial contains 5.8S ribosomal RNA, internal transcribed spacer 2, and large subunit ribosomal RNA". The stretch from base 1 to 105 matches the Rfam family "5.8S ribosomal RNA", at positions 50 to 154 of the family's 154-position model. The record is from RNAcentral.